RNAcentral lists this ribosomal RNA (455 nucleotides) under uncultured bacterium. Its description in RNAcentral is "bacterial SSU rRNA". It matches the Rfam family "Bacterial small subunit ribosomal RNA", at positions 340 to 786 of the family's 1533-position model. The record is from RNAcentral.
UACGGAAGGCAGCAGUGGGGAAUAUUGCACAAUGGGCGAAAGCCUGAUGCAGCUAUGCCGCGUGUAUGAAGAAGGCCUUAGGGUUGUAAAGUACUUUCAUCGGGGAGGAAAAAACAAAACUAAUAAUUUUAUUUCUUGACGUUACCCGAAAAAGAAGCACCGGCUAACUCCGUGCCAGCAGCCGCGGUAAUACGGAGGGUGCUAGCGUUAAUCAGAAUUACUGGGCGUAAAGAGCACGUAGGUGGUUUUUUUAAGUCAGAUGUGAAAUCCCUGGGCUUAACCUAGGAACUGCAUUUUGAAACUGAAAUACUAGAGUAUCGUAGAGGGAGGUAGAAUUCUAGGUGUAGCGGUGAAAUGCGUAGAUAUCUGGAGGAAUACCUGUGGCGAAAGCGGCCUCCUAAACGAAUACUGACACUGAGGUGCGAAAGCGGGGGAGCAAACAGGGAUUAGAUACC